Molecule: ribosomal RNA, 2125 nt
Filed under: Lachnoanaerobaculum sp. OBRC5-5
Lineage: Bacteria; Bacillati; Bacillota; Clostridia; Lachnospirales; Lachnospiraceae
Description: bacterial LSU rRNA
Rfam family: Bacterial large subunit ribosomal RNA
Source: RNAcentral
CGAACGCACAUCCGUUGAAAAGGGUGGCGAUGAGGUGUGGAUAGGGGAGAAAUUCCAAUCGAACCCGGAGAUAGCUGGUUCUCCUCGAAAUAGUUUUAGGACUAGCCUCGUUAUUAGUCUACCGGAGGUAGAGCACUGAAUUUUUGCGGGGGCGUCAAAGCCUACCAAGAGAUAUCAAACUCCGAAUGCCGGCUAGAUGAUUGACGGGAGUCAGACUACACGAGAUAAGUUGGGUAGUCAAAAGGGAAAGAGCCCAGACCUACGGCUAAGGUCCCAAAGUGUGUGUUAAGUGGAAAAGGAUGUGGGAUUUCGAAGACAGCUAGGAUGUUGGCUUAGAAGCAGCCAUACAUUAAAAGAGUGCGUAACAGCUCACUAGUCGAGAGGUCCUGCGCCGAAAAUGUCCGGGGCUAAACACAACACCGAAGCCUAGGAAUGUAUUAUAUACAUUGGUAGAGGAGCAUUCUUAGAGGCGUAGAAGCCAUACCGGAAGGAAUGGUGGAGUAAUAAGAAGAGAGAAUGCCGGAAUGAGUAGCGAGAAAGAGGUGAGAAUCCUCUUGGCCGAAUAUCUAAGGUUUCCUGAGUAAAGCUGAUCUACUCAGGGUAAGUCGGGGCCUAAGGCAAGGUCGAAAGACGUAGUCGAUGGAUAACAGGUACAGAUUCCUGUACUACAUAUAAUCAGAACUGUGGGGACACGGAGACUGAAACCGAACCCGGGAGGACAAAAACCGGGGCAAGCGAAGUACCUGUAUGGGAGGAAAAACCACCAUGCAAUGGGAAAACGUGAUGCGUACCGAAAAUUAGUAGGGAAGUCGGUUAGGGAGCCGUCAAGAAAAGCCGCUAUUGUGUUAUAUGUACCCGUACCGCAAACCGACACAGGUAGAUGAGGAGAGAAUCCUAAGGCCGGCGGGAGAAGCAUUGUUAAGGAACUCGGCAAAAUGACCCCGUAACUUCGGGAGAAGGGGUGCCACUUUAAUAGAGUGGUCGCAGAAAAAAGGCUCAAGCAACUGUUUAGCAAAAACACAGGUCUAUGCGAAACCGCAAGGUGAAGUAUAUGGGCUGACGCCUGCCCGGUGCCGGAAGGUUAAGAGGAGAAGUCAGGAAACGAAGCUUUGAAUUGAAGCCCCGGUAAACGGCGGCCGUAACUAUAACGGUCCUAAGGUAGCGAAAUUCCUUGUCGGGUAAGUUCCGACCCGCACGAAAGGCGUAAUGAUUUGAGCGCUGUCUCAACAAUGCACCCGGUGAAAUUGAAGUACCAGUGAAGAUGCUGGUUACCCGCGCCAGGACGGAAAGACCCCAUGGAGCUUUACUCCAGUUUGGUACUGGGAUUCGGUAAUACUCGUACAGGAUAGGUGGGAGACGUAGAAGUAUAGACGCUAGUUUAUGCAGAGUCGCCGUUGGGAUACCACCCCUGUAUUGCUGGAUUUCUAACCUGCGGCCGUUAUCCGGCCGGGGGACAAUGCCAGACGGGGAGUUUGACUGGGGCGGUCGCCUCCGAAAGAGUAUCGGAGGCGCUCGAAGGUUCCCUCAGAAUGGUCGGAAACCAUUCAAAGAGUGCAAAGGCAGAAGGGAGCUUGACUGCGACACCGACGGGUGGAGCAGGUACGAAAGUAGGACUUAGUGAUCCGGUGGCAUAAAGUGGGAUUGCCAUCGCUCAACGGAUAAAAGCUACCCUGGGGAUAACAGGCUUAUCACUCCCAAGAGUUCACAUCGACGGAGUGGUUUGGCACCUCGAUGUCGGCUCAUCGCAUCCUGGGGCUGUAGCAGGUCCCAAGGGUUGGGCUGUUCGCCCAUUAAAGCGGUACGCGAGCUGGGUUCAGAACGUCGUGAGACAGUUCGGUCCCUAUCCGGCGUGGGCGUAAGAUAUUUGAGAGGAGCCGUCCUUAGUACGAGAGGACCGGGACGGACUGACCGCUGGUGUACCUGUUGGAGAGUAACUCCAUGGCAGGGUAGCUAUGUCGGGACGGGAUAAACGCUGAAGGCAUCUAAGCGUGAAGCCCCCCUCAAGAUGGGAUAUCUCAUGUGAAAACAGUAAGACCCCUUGAAGACUACGAGGUAGAUAGGGCCAAGAUGUAAGUACAGUAAUGUAUUGAGUUGAUGGUUACUAAUAGGUCGAGGGUUUAACCAA